AUUGAACGCUGGCGGCAUGCUUUACACAUGCAAGUCGAACGGCAGCGCGGGCUUCGGCCUGGCGGCGAGUGGCGAACGGGUGAGUAAUACAUCGGAACGUGCCCAGUAGUGGGGGAUAGCUCGGCGAAAGCCGGAUUAAUACCGCAUACGACCUGAGGGUGAAAGCGGGGGAUCUUCGGACCUCGCGCUAUUUGAGCGGCCGAUGGCGGAUUAGCUAGUUGGUGGGGUAAAGGCCUACCAAGGCGACGAUCUGUAGCUGGUCUGAGAGGACGACCGGCCACACUGGGGCUGAGCCACGGCCCAGACUCCUACGGGAGGCAGCAGUGGGGAAUUUUGGACAAUGGGCGAAAGCCUGAUACAGCAAUGCCGCGUGUGUGAUGAAGGCCUUCGGGUUGUAAAGCACUUUUGGCGGGAACGAAAAGGACUGUGCCAAUACCAAGGUUCGAUGACGGUACCCGCAGAAUAAGCACCGGCUAACUACGUG
This 484-nucleotide ribosomal RNA is filed under the name uncultured bacterium. RNAcentral describes it as "partial 16S ribosomal RNA". It matches the Rfam family "Bacterial small subunit ribosomal RNA", at positions 29 to 507 of the family's 1533-position model. The record is from RNAcentral.